This is a long non-coding RNA of Podarcis raffonei (Aeolian wall lizard), 416 nucleotides long. RefSeq lists it as uncharacterized. The record is from RefSeq and is a predicted model, not a curated record. NCBI's taxonomy places the organism in Eukaryota, Metazoa, Chordata, Lepidosauria, Squamata, Lacertidae. The transcript has 3 exons.
CUGCUUGGAAGAGCAACUAAGUCACUAUGACCUGAGUGAUGGUGCAUCAUUGUGUAACUAUCUUAAUUUGUCACUUUUCAGAAAAUCAGAUGAGGAGAAAAAGAAUGGCAGCAUUUCGUCCCAUAAAAACCAAGAUUUCACAAACUGAUGUGUUUUGGCUGUUAACUUUUACCUUCCUGUCUCAGCUAGAAACAGGUUAACUGCAGCCGCUCAAGGCUUCCCUGAUAAAGGAGAGCAGCAUGAACUGUCUUCUGGGAUUGCUCAGAUGACUUUAAGACAACAUAUGGAUUCCUAUACAGAAGCUUGAGGAAGGCAAGAAAUAGAAGGAAACUCUCCUGCUGUGUCUUCCUUCCUCUCAUGUGCUGGAAGAUGUGGAUAAGCAAGAGUUUCUUCUGCUGUUUCUAACAUUCUCCAUA